ACGCUCGACACCUACGGAGGCAGCAGUAGGGAAUCUUCCACAAUGGACGCAAGUCUGAUGGAGCAACGCCGCGUGAGUGAAGAAGGUCUUCGGAUCGUAAAACUCUGUUGUUAGAGAAGAACACGAGUGAGAGUAACUGUUCAUUCGAUGACGGUAUCUAACCAGCAAGUCACGGCUAAUUACGUGCCAACAGCCGCGGUAAUCUGAGCGGGCUGGCAAGGC
Molecule: ribosomal RNA, 222 nt
Filed under: uncultured bacterium
Lineage: Bacteria
Description: partial 16S ribosomal RNA
Rfam family: Bacterial small subunit ribosomal RNA
Source: RNAcentral